GGCAAGAUGGCCGAGCGGUCUAAGGCGCCAGACUCAAGUUGUAACAGGCUUGUCUCUCCCCACAGGAGAGGUGUUAUUCUGGUCACGAAAGUGGCAGGGGUUCGAAUCCCCUUCUUGUCA
Microdochium nivale is the source of this 120-nucleotide non-coding RNA. The record is from the annotation of a GenBank genome assembly. Lineage: Eukaryota; Fungi; Ascomycota; Sordariomycetes; Xylariales; Microdochiaceae.